GUUAAGAUAGCUUAAUCCACAAAGCGUAACACUGAAGAUGUUAAUAUGGCAAUCUGUCUCCUAACA
This 66-nucleotide transfer RNA is filed under the name Sirsoe methanicola. Its description in RNAcentral is "tRNA-Phe". It matches the Rfam family "tRNA". From Rfam's summary of the family: Transfer RNA (tRNA) molecules are approximately 80 nucleotides in length. Their secondary structure includes four short double-helical elements and three loops (D, anti-codon, and T loops). Further hydrogen bonds mediate the characteristic L-shaped molecular structure. tRNAs have two regions of fundamental functional importance: the anti-codon, which is responsible for specific mRNA codon recognition, and the 3' end, to which the tRNAs corresponding amino acid is attached (by aminoacyl-tRNA synthetases). tRNAs cope with the degeneracy of the genetic code in two manners: having more than one tRNA (with a specific anti-codon) for a particular amino acid; and 'wobble' base-pairing, i.e. permitting non-standard base-pairing at the 3rd anti-codon position. The record is from RNAcentral. Lineage: Eukaryota; Metazoa; Annelida; Polychaeta; Phyllodocida; Hesionidae.